AAGAAGUAAUAUACCAAGAAUUGAACUUCUAAUUCAACCUCCUAGUGGUGCAAAUCCAUUAAUACUUCU
RNAcentral lists this transfer RNA (69 nucleotides) under Cheironitis sp. MJTNT-2012. RNAcentral's name for it is "tRNA-Ser". The record is from RNAcentral. Lineage: Eukaryota; Metazoa; Arthropoda; Insecta; Coleoptera; Scarabaeidae.